This 3981-nucleotide long non-coding RNA is filed under the name Fragaria vesca (wild strawberry). RNAcentral describes it as "long non-coding RNA (FVES_LNC000114)". The record is from RNAcentral. Lineage: Eukaryota; Viridiplantae; Streptophyta; Magnoliopsida; Rosales; Rosaceae.
CCGAGUCUCUCUCUCUCUCUCCUCCUCCGUCUCUCUCUCGCCGCUGCUCUUCUCCAAUGCAACGCCGUCGUCUCCGGCCACCCUAGACUGCGAGACCACCACCAAAACGAUCUUCUCCUUCUUCUCUUCAAAACCCAGUGAUCAAAUUCCACACACACCACUGUGUUUAUCGGAAUCCGGCAAGCUUCCGGCGGCGACUCAACUUUUGAAGGUAGGUUUCAGUUCGCCUCCCUUCCCUCUUCCUUUUUGUGUCCUUGUAUGUUUGAUUUAUGCCCUAAUUCAAGAAAGACCCCUUUUUCUACCUUUUCUGAAUUUCACUGUUCAUUUUCUUCCGGCGAGUCCAUUCUCGAAGUUCUGGUGAGGCUAUCGAGCUUUGGCGAGUUUAGAAACGUUUAAUUGGAGCCCAGACGCGUCUUGAGGAUGAAUUGGAGGCAGCUGCUACGUUGGUCAAGAUAAUUUCAAGGUGAGAUGGGUUUUGCCCUGUUUUGAGAAUUUAACUAUAGUGUGUCUGUACCGUGUUGCUAUCGAAUAUAUGGAUAUUUGGUUGAAGUUGAGUUUGAGUUUGUCUGAUGUUUGGCUUGAUGUUGGUGGAAGGCAGAGGCUCUGUUGAGGAAGUUUUGUGCGGCUGAGCUUGACAUGGGUGUGAAGAGCACAUCCUUGGCUGCAAAGGGUAGUUUUGGGGUGCGGUUAUCAUUCUUGAUAAAAAGGUGAAUUGCUAAGCUUUAUAGUUUUAGAAGAGGUUGUUAAUUUUGGGGUAUUUUGCAUUGGUUUUGAGCUGGUGAUUAAAGAAUCGGAGUUUAGGGAUUUAAGGAAACAUUGUUAAUAAAAGAAAUGACCUAGUAUUAAUGUGUUGGUAAUUAUUUGGGUGGUGUUGAUUCGUUGACGGAUUUGUAGUUAUGUCUAGAUAAGUAAUCGUAUGUCUAUUCUUAAAUAGGAGAGUCAAGUUGUAUAGGUAUUGGGAAAUGUUGAUCUAGUUGGCAUGGUAAACUCGAGUGAAUUGCAUUAUCAAUAUUAUCGACUCUCGAUUAAUAAAUUGCCUAGGAUAGGCUGUCACAUCUCGGUUCUUAAAUUAAAUUACAGUUAUUUACUUUGGUAUUACUUUGGUCUUUUACCGUUUUACGUAACCGUUUACUAUUUAAGACUCCAAAAGUUGACUUUUUCUUCCGUUUGAAAUUUGGGAAAACUUUCUUCACGAAAGUCAGAGAGGAGGUGUUAAAAUCGGAGUUAGCAUGAAAAAGUUAUCAGAUAAAAGGGUAAAUUUUGAGUGGUAAAAAUGGGGUGAAUUUUAGUAGGCUUUAUUUGUUGUGGGUAUUAAGUUGGACCGGGUGUGAAGCAGCCCCAACACCCANNNNNNNNNNNNNNNNNNNNCUCUCUCUCCCCGACCCGCCGGAUUCCUCGGCUCCGACCGCCGCCGUCCGGCCACCAUAGACCGGCGCACCAGUCCCAAACGGUCGGCCGUCGACCCAGCCUUCUCCCUGGACCAGUGAGAGCUGCCCUAGCGCCGCCAUGAGGGAGAGAGCUCGCCCGGAAACUCCGCUUGCGUUGUGGAGUCCGGUCGCCGGAACUCGCUACUCCGGCCACCAUCGCCGGUGAUUUGGGUCUCAUUUGGAAGAGCUUGUCUUGUGUAACAAUCCCCUAUAAGGUAAUUAACCAAUUCGAAAUGUGUAGGAAGAUUUUCGGUCUAGGGUUUGAAUUGGGGAUUUUUGGAUGUUUUGAUUCGAUUACCCUAGUUAGGCUUAGAAUUGGACUAAGUGCUAGUUAUGGAAGUCGUUGUGCGUAUUGAGAAGAUUGUUGUGCUAAAAUUUGGGAAGCAUUAGAGGUCGCCAGAGUACGGUUGCCUGCCACCACUGCCGGCGGAGCAGGCGGCGGCGCCACCCCUUAGGGGUAGUUUUUCAUGUUUUUGGGAUUGUUUUAAUGAGAGGAGUUUAAUGAUGUGAAGUUUGGAAUUUUUGAAGGGAGUUUUGGUUAGGUUUGGGAUUUUUCAAAGACUGAGAAUUUUGGCGGUUGUUAGAAUGAAAAUCUGGCCGUUGGAUUUCCUUGGUAUUUAUUCUAGAAUAUUAGAAUUGAUGAAUUAAGGUUGUGGUGGAGUUUGGUAUGAAUCCGAUAAGCUUAACCCUAGAUAGGGUAGUGGGUUAGGCAGAAGAUUUUCAGGGUGUUCUAUCAAAGCAUUUAUUUUUCCAAAAAUCGGAAUGUGGUUCUAAUUAUGCUUAUGGUGUUAGGAUUCAUGAAGACCUCACACGUAUGGCGUUGCGGAUAUCGUCGGGCUUAUGCCUAAAUUAGUGAGUGGACAUUUUAGUUUUUAACUAAUAUGAAUGCAUGAUUUAUAAGUUGUCCAUUAUAUAUUUUUCCAAGCUUAGAUUAUAAUUACAACUUUUGAAUUGGUUAUGGAAUUUAUUUGAGAUUGGCAUAUUGGUUAUGAAAUUUAUUUGAGAUUUACAUAUUGGUUAUGUUUUCGAUAAUGAACUUAUGGAGUUGAGCUUGGGUUAGAGAUUUGGUAUUUGAGUUUUAAUAUUCUUUAUGAUUUCCGAAUUUGAGAUUAUAUCCAGAUUUGCAUAUAUCCUGGUUUUCGAAAGAUGAUAAUUAUUUAAGUUAAUUAUUUCAUUGAGCAUUUUAACGUGUGGGACACGUCGUUGAAUUUAAUUAAUUUCUUUGCUCUUUGAAUUCCUUUGAGUACGGUUGGGAAUCGUACUUAUGCUUUAGUAUGAGUUUCGGGGAAACUCACAUGGAUUUAUGUUUCUUUAUUUAUGUCAUACUUGUCGGAUAAUAUAUUACUAAUGCUAGCAUAAUGCUAGCAUGUUGUUCAACCUUUCGAGGCGAUGUGGCUUCCACGUUUUUAGUGGGGUUACUGAAGCCCUUUCUGCCUUGGGUGAUGUGAUGUAGUCGACGACAUCACGCAAGCCCUGCACUCUUUCUGUUAUCAUGACGUGAAGGUGUAGGGAGUAUGGGCGUAUUUUUGCCUGGGAGGCACCCGAGCCUGAGAGGCUCACUUGUAUGGCUAUAUCUACUUCUUAUUUAUUGUUGUUGACCUGACUAGCGGGGCUAGUCCAUCUUUUUGAUAUUCCUUUUUACAAAGAUCUUUAUGAAUCCUUGUUGUUGUUUUGACUAGCGAGCCUAGUCCGUUUUCUCGGGAAUUUCUUUUGAAGGCGUUAUCAACACUUGCAUGCAACGGAUUUAUUGCUUAUCAGAAAGUGGGAAAGUAUUUAAGUUUUGGUUUCUUAUCCUAUGUCCUUUUAUUUAUUUAUUUUUGUUCACUCACUCUAACGUUUUGAAUUACUUUCCUCUGAGCCCUUUGGUUUCAAAUGCCCAGUUUGCAGGCUAAGUUUAAAUGAGGUCGAGCGUACAUGGAGUCGAGACAUAAUUAGAGGCUGCUUCCGCUUACUCUUUAUUCAUUGUUUUUCUUUCAUUAUAGAUGCUCUGAUGACCAUUAGAGAUUGUUAUUAGUUGAGUAUGGUUGGAAGUAUUUUGGGAGAUGUUAUGAACUUGGAGAGCAGGAAAGCUGCAGGAGUUGAGGUUGGAUGAUUUAUAAUAGAAGUGUCUAUUUGGAAUUUUUUCAAGUAAAGGUUGUCCAUUUUCAAGGUAAAUUAUGCCGAAUUUUUAGUAAAUUUUCCUUGGAGGUGGACCCUGCAGGAUUUACUUCAGGUUUCAAGGUGAAAUUCGGAGUGGGUCCUGUCAUAGGCAUCGAGUGUCCAUAGUAAUUUGACGAAUUACUAUGUGAAACCUAAUGAUAAAUUUAAGUAAUGAAUCUAUUGUUCACUUAUAUGCAUUAUAGUUUUUAUUAAGGACUUGUUCGUUAUGCUUAGAAGUGAAAGAAGGGGUUGUAUAAAGAAAGGACCAUUAGGAGGAUUUGCCGAGCUCAUCUUCGGAGUUUUAACUUGACAACUAGUGCACCCGAAUCACUAUGAGUGGACAUUUGUUUGAAAUUAAAUGCAUGCAGUGAUUUUAUAUUAAAUGAAUGAUUUUAUUUUACUGAAUCUAAAUUUG